GACGAACGCUGGCGGCGUGCCUAAUACAUGCAAGUUGAGCGCUGAAGGUUGGUACUUGUACCAACUGGAUGAGCAGCGAACGGGUGAGUAACGCGUGGGGAAUCUGCCUUUGAGCGGGGGACAACAUUUGGAAACGAAUGCUAAUACCGCAUAAAAACUUUAAACACAAGUUUUAAGUUUGAAAGAUGCAAUUGCAUCACUCAAAGAUGAUCCCGCGUUGUAUUAGCUAGUUGGUGAGGUAAAGGCUCACCAAGGCGAUGAUACAUAGCCGACCCGAGAGGGUGAUCGGCCACAAUGGGACUGAGACACGGCCCAAACUCCUACGGGAGGCAGCAGUAGGGAAUCUUCGGCAAUGGACGAAAGUCUGACCGAGCAACGCCGCGUGAGUGAAGAAGGUUUUCGGAUCGUAAAACUCUGUUGGUAGAGAAGAACGUUGGUGAGAGUGGAAAGCUCAUCAAGUGACGGUAACUACCCAGAAAGGGACGGCUAACUACGUG
This 497-nucleotide ribosomal RNA is filed under the name uncultured bacterium. RNAcentral's name for it is "partial 16S ribosomal RNA". It matches the Rfam family "Bacterial small subunit ribosomal RNA", at positions 28 to 507 of the family's 1533-position model. The record is from RNAcentral.